AAUCUACCUCUAACUCGGGGAUAACAUCGCGAAAGUGAUGCUAAUACCGGAUAAUAUCUAAUUUGCUUCGGCAGUUUAGGUCAAGGGUGGCCUCUAUAUAUAAGCUACUGAUUGGAGAUGAGCCCGCGUACCAUUAGCUUGUUGGUAGGGUAAUGGCCUACCAAGGCUACGAUGGUUAGCUGGUCUGAGAGGAUGAUCCGCCACACUGGAACUGGAACACGGACCAG
RNAcentral lists this ribosomal RNA (227 nucleotides) under uncultured bacterium. RNAcentral describes it as "partial 16S ribosomal RNA". It matches the Rfam family "Bacterial small subunit ribosomal RNA", at positions 123 to 334 of the family's 1533-position model. The record is from RNAcentral.